AUGCGGGGAAGGAUGAGAAGCUUCGACUAAGGUGCGGCUCGAGCGUCAGCGAGAGAGCGUUGACGCAGACAACGACCCGAAGCGCGAAGCGCGCCGCGAUGAGUAUACCUUCCCCCACCACCA
RNAcentral lists this small RNA (123 nucleotides) under Escherichia coli. Its description in RNAcentral is "partial RtT sRNA". It matches the Rfam family "RtT RNA". From Rfam's summary of the family: This family represents a bacterial cis-regulatory element known as RtT RNA. The exact function of RtT is unknown although it is thought that it may be involved in changing the cellular response in relation to amino acid starvation. The record is from RNAcentral. Lineage: Bacteria; Pseudomonadati; Pseudomonadota; Gammaproteobacteria; Enterobacterales; Enterobacteriaceae.